UACGGAGGAUGCAAGCGUUAUCCGGAAUGAUUGGGCGUAAAGCGUCCGCAGGUGGCAAUGUAAGUCUGCUGUCAAAGCGUCUGGCUCAACCAGAUAAAGGCAGUGGAAACUACAUAGCUAGAGUAAGGUAGGGGUAGAGGGAAUUCCUGGUGUAGCGGUGAAAUGCGUAGAUAUCAGGAAGAACACCGGUGGCGAAAGCGCUCUGCUAGGCCGCAACUGACACUGAGGGACGAAAGCUAGGGGAGCGAAUGGG
RNAcentral lists this ribosomal RNA (253 nucleotides) under uncultured bacterium. RNAcentral's name for it is "partial 16S ribosomal RNA". It matches the Rfam family "Bacterial small subunit ribosomal RNA", at positions 524 to 776 of the family's 1533-position model. The record is from RNAcentral.